GUACUUCUAUAGUAUAGGCCAGAAUAUUUAAAAAGAAAACUGACGAGUCAAGUAGCUCGACACCAGAACAUGCAUACAUGCCGAAACAUUAAAAGGGUAAAUGCCUGCACACAACUACCGGCAAGUGCAAGUGCUCGUACUUAGUGUCAGGCGAUAUCAAAGUUCAAGUGAUGCAACAUCAGAAACAAGAAUACCAAGCCGCC
Molecule: long non-coding RNA, 203 nt
Organism: Haliotis rubra (blacklip abalone)
Lineage: Eukaryota; Metazoa; Mollusca; Gastropoda; Lepetellida; Haliotidae
Exons: 3
Source: RefSeq, a predicted model, not a curated record